Long non-coding RNA from Sander lucioperca (pikeperch), 866 nucleotides. RefSeq lists it as uncharacterized. The record is from RefSeq and is a predicted model, not a curated record. Lineage: Eukaryota; Metazoa; Chordata; Actinopteri; Perciformes; Percidae. The transcript is spliced from 2 exons.
UGUCGUUGUUUGCUGAUAGACCGCUUAUUUUUUUUGUUUUUUUAAAGAUGAUAGUAACUGUGGUCACAAUGAACGAUGUGGAUCAUCUUCUACAGCACACAUUUUAAAGUCUGUCUUUUUCUAGAAAAACUAAAAGAUUAGCUAAACAUCUCGGUGCCCACCAGCCGCGGGAUAUUGUUAUAAACCCAACCUCUGAUAAAAAAUCAGAUUGAACGUGAAGUGGUUCUCCAGGUCAAAAUGGUUAACUGCUAGCUAGCUUGUCAGAGAAGACGCUUCUUAUUUUGCUUCCCGUGUGUGUUAUGGUUAAGAAUAGGCUUUUAGGACCUCAAGCAUCUUUCUGAGAUCAUUAAAAAACCCCAAAAGCAGCAGGAUAACGCCGUAAAGUUGGAUUUGCUCGGCAGAACAUUCUUGGCUAACGUUAACGCUAGCUACCUAAACUGACAGCGUUUAAACUGGGGAUUGAGCAAUUCAACAGCACGCUGAGGAGAACACAGGUCAUGCCAGGGAGGUGUCAUUUAAAGUUUGAUGAGUAAUCCUAAUGUAUGCUCACGUUCUGGAAAGCCUCAUGUAAUCUCUAUGAGCACUUAUGACUGAUCAGAAGCUGGAGGUAGGCUAUGUGACGUUUACUCCUUCACAUUACUGACACACGUCAAUCCUAGCAUGUAUUCAUGGUGGCAUGGAUGAGAACAUGCACUCACACAAACACACAUGCACAAGAUAGUGUCAAACUGAUUUAAUGCACAGGCCGAAGCUUUGCAAAUGCAAGUUAUUGCUUAUGCACUCUUCCGUAAAGAAUGUGCCCGAUGAAUAAAACAUUUGCGAAUAAACACAAAUAGUGAUUUAAAUAUAACUCUAUGAAUACGCUA